CACAAAUACGUUUGAAAUUAAUGUAAAAAUCAGUAAUCAAAUUCAAGGUUUGGGUUCUGUUCUUCUAAUUGCAGAAUUGAUCUGAUUUCCCGUGGCUGUAGUAAGUAGAUCUACAGCUACAGUUACUAGAAGUGGAGGGAAUACACUCUGUGAACACAGCAAAAGGAGCUCAAUGAAUCCGGCUUCAUGCAGUGAUGAAACCUUUGGUGAGAGAGAACAUAUGUCAUCAGAGCACAAAGGUUUCUGCUGGAGAAUAUAUUAAACUGUUCAACCAUUCACUGAAACUAUUUAUGAGAAGACCAAACCUCGACUUUCAGUAAGAUGCAUGG
This 329-nucleotide long non-coding RNA is filed under the name Parus major (Great Tit). Its description in RNAcentral is "lncRNA (ENSPMJG00000008957.1)". Lineage: Eukaryota; Metazoa; Chordata; Aves; Passeriformes; Paridae. The record is from RNAcentral.